CCCUCUUUCAUUUCUAUUGUUCCCAAGCUUUGGCUAACUUAAGUAUCGAAAUAACCUCCUUAAAAAUCUUUGGUGAGUGUGGACUUCUUUUUUGGAUGAUAGGAGUGAUCACAGGUAGGAUGGUUGGAGACCAACUUCAGCUACACUGGUUCGGAGCUUUGUGGUAAUAGUUAUAUUUCAUUGUGCUAUAUCUACAUCCAUCUCAUCC
This 208-nucleotide long non-coding RNA is filed under the name Elaeis guineensis (African oil palm). Its description in RNAcentral is "long non-coding RNA (EGUI_LNC079900)". The record is from RNAcentral. Lineage: Eukaryota; Viridiplantae; Streptophyta; Magnoliopsida; Arecales; Arecaceae.